Amaranthus tricolor (Joseph's coat) is the source of this 807-nucleotide long non-coding RNA. RefSeq lists it as uncharacterized. Lineage: Eukaryota; Viridiplantae; Streptophyta; Magnoliopsida; Caryophyllales; Amaranthaceae. The transcript is spliced from 3 exons. The record is from RefSeq and is a predicted model, not a curated record.
CUCCCUCCUUCUCUAAACCCUCAAGAACACACAUUAGCUUUUCAAAGCUUUUCUUCCCUAUUUGUUUGAAGGAAUCACAUGCAAACACAGCCUGUUAAGCGCUUGAAUUUUUGAAGGAGCAUCACUGAAAACCAUUUUUCCAUUUAAAAACCAUCACUGCUACCCAUUUGUUCCCGACCUUGCAUGAACAGUCGAAGAGAAAGUAGGUUGCUCACUCCUUCUCUGCAUUCGACUUUGGGCCUAACAACACACCACAUUUUCAUCCUGGUCUUGCAACACACAUUGAAAAUCAACACAUUUCUUCCUCUGAUUGGCUAAUAAAACAACACAUUCCCAGAGUACUUCAUGUUGGGAUUGAUUCAAAAAACCAACAAAUUCAUAGUUUUAUGUCUACCGAAAAGGAGACGAUCAUCGAGGAACCCUUCUAGUUGAUAGCUGUGGGGUGGACUCGACUCCUUGAAACGUCGUUGAUUGCUCGUAGCUUCAUGACCAGCCAGGAUGAUGGGAACUCAAGGUGAUGUGUCUGUGAAGAGGAGACUUUUAUAUUUAAGUUUUGAGAUACUCUAUGUAGUAGACUUAUAGAAUUUGUAGAACUAGGUGUUAAUAUGGGUUAUGUGGAUUUGUGGACUUUUAUAUUUUUGAGGUUCUGGUAUAACUGUUGGUUUUGUGUAUAGUUGUCAUGGCCGAUGAAUUUAGAUAUUGUGAUCCAACUUUAUAGCAAUUUGUUGGACCCAGUCAUCUUUUUCGGUACGUAACCUAUGAUAACUCAACUUACUUAGUUUAUAAAUGAGUCGAAUUGUUACAUGA